GCUUGCUACCUGACCUAGCGGCGGACGGGUGAGUAAUGCUUAGGAAUCUGCCUAUUAGUGGGGGACAACAUUCCGAAAGGAAUGCUAAUACCGCAUACGCCCUACGGGGGAAAGCAGGGGAUCUUCGGACCUUGCGCUAAUAGAUGAGCCUAAGUCAGAUUAGCUAGUUGGUGGGGUAAAGGCCUACCAAGGCGACGAUCUGUAGCGGGUCUGAGAGGAUGAUCCGCCACACUGGGACUGAGACACGGCCCAGACUCCUACGGGAGGCAGCAGUGGGGAAUAUUGGACAAUGGGCGAAAGCCUGAUCCAGCCAUGCCGCGUGUGUGAAGAAGGCCUUUUGGUUGUAAAGCACUUUAAGCGAGGAGGAGGCUACUUGGAUUAAUACUCUAGGAUAGUGGACGUUACUCGCAGAAUAAGCACCGGCUAACUCUGUGCCAGCAGCCGCGGUAAUACAGAGGGUGCGAGCGUUAAUCGGAUUUACUGGGCGUAAAGCGUGCGUAGGCGGCUUUUUAAGUCGGAUGUGAAAUCCCUGAGCUUAACUUAGGAAUUGCAUUCGAUACUGGGAAGCUAGAGUAUGGGAGAGGAUGGUAGAAUUCCAAGUGUAGCGGUGAAGUGCGUAGAGAUCUGGAGGAAUACCGAUGGCGAAGGCAGCCAUCUGGCCUAAUACUGACGCUGAGGUACGAAAGCAUGGGGAGCAAACAGGAUUAGAUACCCUGGUAGUCCAUGCCGUAAACGAUGUCUACUAGCCGUUGGGGCCUUUGAGGCUUUAGUGGCGCAGCUAACGCGAUAAGUAGACCGCCUGGGGAGUACGGUCGCAAGACUAAAACUCAAAUGAAUUGACGGGGGCCCGCACAAGCGGUGGAGCAUGUGGUUUAAUUCGAUGCAACGCGAAGAACCUUACCUGGUCUUGACAUAGUAAGAACUUUCCAGAGAUGGAUUGGUGCCUUCGGGAACUUACAUACAGGUGCUGCAUGGCUGUCGUCAGCUCGUGUCGUGAGAUGUUGGGUUAAGUCCCGCAACGAGCGCAACCCUUUUCCUUAUUUGCCAGCGGGUUAAGCCGGGAACUUUAAGGAUACUGCCAGUGACAAACUGGAGGAAGGCGGGGACGACGUCAAGUCAUCAUGGCCCUUACGACCAGGGCUACACACGUGCUACAAUGGUCGGUACAAAGGGUUGCUACCUAGCGAUAGGAUGCUAAUCUCAAAAAGCCGAUCGUAGUCCGGAUUGGAGUCUGCAACUCGACUCCAUGAAGUCG
RNAcentral lists this ribosomal RNA (1255 nucleotides) under uncultured Acinetobacter sp. RNAcentral's name for it is "bacterial SSU rRNA". It matches the Rfam family "Bacterial small subunit ribosomal RNA", at positions 78 to 1328 of the family's 1533-position model. The record is from RNAcentral. Lineage: Bacteria; Pseudomonadati; Pseudomonadota; Gammaproteobacteria; Moraxellales; Moraxellaceae.